CAAGCAAGCCAGACGGUCGCGUGCGGCCGGGCCGCACGAGGAAAGUCCGAGCUCCGUAGAGCAGGGUGCUGGGUAACACCCAGUGGGGGUGACCCCAAGGAAAGUGCCACAGAAACACACCGCCGGAUUUUGCCGGUAAGGUUGAAAUGGUGAGGUAAGAGCUCACCGGCAGUCGGGUGACCGGCUGGCCGCGGUAAACCCCAUCUGGAGCAAGACUGCAUAGGAAGGCGGGGCGCCCUCGAGGCGCCUAAAGGCUGCUCGUCUGAGUCCUUCGGGUAAGGUCGCUAGAGGUGCCGGGAGACCGGCAUCGUAGAUAGAUGAUCGUCGCCCAUCGGGUCGCGAGGCCCGGCGGGAACAGAACUCGGCUUACGGCUUGCUUGGACC
RNAcentral lists this RNase P RNA (384 nucleotides) under Chloroflexota bacterium. RNAcentral's name for it is "RNase P RNA component class A". It matches the Rfam family "Bacterial RNase P class A". Rfam says of the family: Ribonuclease P (RNase P) is a ubiquitous endoribonuclease, found in archaea, bacteria and eukarya as well as chloroplasts and mitochondria. Its best characterised activity is the generation of mature 5'-ends of tRNAs by cleaving the 5'-leader elements of precursor-tRNAs. The record is from RNAcentral. Lineage: Bacteria; Bacillati; Chloroflexota.